CUACCAUGGCUCUCACGGGUAACGGGGAAUUAGGGUUCGAUUCCGGAGAAGGAGCCUGAGAAACGGCUACUACAUCUACUGGAAGGCAGCAGGCGCGUAAAUUACCCAAUCCUGACUCAGGGAGGUAGUGACAAGAUAUAACGACGCGACUAAAAAUCGCGAUUGUAGUGAUGUUUUUUUAAAUGGAAAUUAAAGUACGAUUGGAGGGCAAGUCUGGUGCCAGCAGCCGCGGUAAUUCCAGCUCCAAUAGCGUAUAUUAAAGUUGUUGCAGUUAAAAAGCUCGUAGUUGGAUUUCAAGGAUCUCAGCGUGGAUACACGUUUGAAUCCUACCAGUCUUUGACUGUUACUGUGAGAAAAUUAGAGUGUUUCAAGCAGGCUGUUGCAGGAAUACAUUAGCAUGGAAUAACGAAUGUGUCUAGAAUCUUGGUUAAUUCUAGAGUACGAUUAAUAGGGACAGUUGGGGGCAUUAGUAUUUAAUUGUCAGAGGUGAAAUUCUUGGAUUUAUUAAAGACUAACGUAUGCGAAAGCAUUUGCCAAGGAUGUUUUCAUUAAUCAA
This 556-nucleotide ribosomal RNA is filed under the name Ciliophora sp. Its description in RNAcentral is "SSU rRNA". It matches the Rfam family "Eukaryotic small subunit ribosomal RNA", at positions 341 to 980 of the family's 1831-position model. Lineage: Eukaryota; Ciliophora. The record is from RNAcentral.